Molecule: microRNA precursor, 147 nt
Filed under: Gossypium arboreum
Lineage: Eukaryota; Viridiplantae; Streptophyta; Magnoliopsida; Malvales; Malvaceae
Description: MIR7502 microRNA precursor family
Rfam family: MIR7502 microRNA precursor family
Source: Rfam by way of RNAcentral
AAUUAAAAUUUUUAUCCAUUUGUACGGUAAAAAACUAAAGUGGUUGACGGAAUAACCAGAAGUGUGACAUGUGGCAUGUCACGUGUAUAUUGUGCUAGUGCGCAUGGGAUUAGUUUUUAACAAUAAAAAUUGAUGCAAUUUUUAAUA